AUGGGUCCAGUUCGGGACUCAAAAUGUCCCUCAGACAUUUUUGGAUGUUCAAGGGCCAGGAACCGACUGUAUUUAGAGGAGAUAAACUCAUCAAGUUUUGAGGGUGGAAAUGCUGUCUCUGGCCUCCAGUCCACUGUUGUAGAAGUGGCAUUGCACAGGGAAACAUCUCACCAACACUGAAGAGAUUCCAUCUGAUGGUUUAUUUGCUCCAGACACAACUAGGAAAAAAGUGAUUUUCCCAAUUUUAGCUAUAAUCUGGCCUAUUUCACCCCAAUCAAGGAAAGUCUUUUGCCCUUAUGUCCCCUCACUUUGUCUCCUAGAUGAUUUCUAAGACAGCUACUGCUGAUGGAUCCCUCCUCACACCACUGAUACAUGAGCAUCCCCUUGUUAUAACUCAUCUACACCUCUCAGUCAAAGUCAAAAUCAUCUGAAACAUUCACAAUCCAGCCUGGAAACAUCUCCUUGGCUCCAGGCUUCCUGGCUCUAUAGUCUGGAAAGAAGCAUUAUCACUGAAGAGCAUCCAAAAAUGUGUAAAUUUUCCCAUAUAAGGCAUCUCUGGGAAGUUGUCAGAGUGAGCAUCCUUUUGGGAGCAAUCACUUGAGAUCCAUCCCAUAUAACCCUGCACAAUGCACAGAGGCACGGGUAAAUAUCCUGGACACCCUGUCAGGGAGGAGCUGGCCACCUUUUAGCCAUCCCAGGGAACCCAAAAAGACAGCUAAGGAAAGCCAGCCUGCAGUCAAGAGAUGGGAAUUUUCUCCUCAGGGUCUUCAUCUCCAGUGUGAAAUAUCUACAGGGUCUGGCAUUCAAAGAAGGGCUUGAAACCUCUACUGUGAAAUCACCAGAGAGAAAUACAGCUCCUUGGGCUGGAUUUGGAUUUCAGGGAAUUACACUGCACUCUUCAGAGGGUCCCCUGUCCUCUGGUGGCUCUAGGGGAGCAGGUGGUGACUCAGUUUUAAUGUUGCAACUCUGUUAAUUGUCCAAAUAAUCCAACUUGCUCGAAUUUGGGGCUUCACAAAGGUUCAGCUCACUUUUAAAAUCAAAAUUUGGCAAAGAGGGUGACAGCAAAAGCUCACUGCUCUGCCUGUCUGACAUCAUCUUGGCAAUUCCCAGGGGUAUAUUGCAGUACCACAGAAUUUGGUGAGGGCUUUUUUUUUUUUUUUUUUUUUAAUCUCCAAGUGUUUAAAUGAUAAGAGAGUUGCUUCUUUCUAUCUUCCUUGUGUUCCUUCUCAUUACAGGAAAAAGCUGAA
This 1247-nucleotide long non-coding RNA is filed under the name Taeniopygia guttata (zebra finch). RNAcentral's name for it is "lncRNA (ENSTGUG00000019537.1)". The record is from RNAcentral. Lineage: Eukaryota; Metazoa; Chordata; Aves; Passeriformes; Estrildidae.